This 815-nucleotide ribosomal RNA is filed under the name uncultured bacterium. Its description in RNAcentral is "bacterial SSU rRNA". It matches the Rfam family "Bacterial small subunit ribosomal RNA", at positions 8 to 796 of the family's 1533-position model. The record is from RNAcentral.
AGAGUUUGAUCCUGGCUCAGAACGAACGCUGGCGGCGUGGAUAAGACAUGCAAGUCGAGCGCUGAUCACAGGGUAGCAAUAUUCUGUGGUUGGAGCGGCGCAAGGGUGCGUAACACGUGGGUAAUCUGCCAUGAAGACUGGAAUAACUUGCUGAAAGGCGAGCUAAUACCGGAUGUGACGAUUGGAAGGCAUCUUCUGAUUUUCAAAGCUGGGGACCGUAAGGCCUGGCGCUUCAUGAUGAGCCCGCGGCCUAUCAGCUAGUUGGUGAGGUAACGGCUCACCAAGGCUAAGACGGGUAGCUGGUCUGAGAGGACGACCAGCCACACUGGAACUGAGACACGGUCCAGACACCUACGGGUGGCAGCAGUCGAGAAUUUUUCACAAUGGGCGCAAGCCUGAUGGAGCGACGCCGCGUGGGGGAUGAAUGGCUUCGGCCCGUAAACCCCUGUCAUUUGCGAACAAGUUGGUUCAGUUAAUAGCUGAACCAUUGAUAGUAGCGAAAGAGGAAGGGACGGCUAACUCUGUGCCAGCAGCCGCGGUAAUACAGAGGUCCCAAGCGUUGUUCGGAUUCACUGGGCGUAAAGGGUGCGUAGGUGGUGAGGUAAGUCGGAUGUGAAAUCUCCGAGCUCAACUCGGAAAUGGCAUUGGAAACUACCUUGCUCGAGGGUUGGAGGGGGGACUGGAAUGCUUGGUGUAGCAGUGAAAUGCGUAGAUAUCAAGCGGAACACCAGUGGCGAAGGCGAGUCCCUGGACAACUCCUGACACUGAGGCACGAAAGCUAGGGGAGCAAACAGGAUUAGAUACCCUAGUAGUCC